RNAcentral lists this ribosomal RNA (253 nucleotides) under uncultured bacterium. RNAcentral's name for it is "partial 16S ribosomal RNA". It matches the Rfam family "Bacterial small subunit ribosomal RNA", at positions 524 to 776 of the family's 1533-position model. The record is from RNAcentral.
UACGUAGGGGGCAAGCGUUGUCCGGAAUCAUUGGGCGUAAAGGGUGCGUAGGCGGUCGCGCAAGUCGGAUGUGAAAUCUCAGGGCUCAACCCUGAAACUGCAUUCGAUACUGCGUGGCUAGAGUACUGGAGAGGAGACUGGAAUUUACGGUGUAGCAGUGAAAUGCGUAGAUAUCGUAAGGAAGACCAGUGGCGAAGGCGAGUCUCUGGACAGUAACUGACGCUGAGGCACGAAGGCCAGGGGAGCAAACGGG